AAAAAAUUUAAUUUUUGUUUAAAAAUUAAUUAAUUAAUUUAAUAAUAAUAAUGAAAAUUUAAUAUUUAAAUAAUUAAUGAGUAUACAUAUUAUUUGAAUUAAUAAAAAUUAUAUGAGUAUAAUUAAUAGAAAAUUAAUUUAAUAUAAAUAAAUAUAGUGCCAGCAAUUGCGGUUAAACUUUAUAUAUAAAUUAAUUAAAAAUAAAAUAUAAUUUUAUAUUUUAAUGUAAUUUUAAAUAAAAAAAAAAUUAUAUGGUGAAAUAUUUAAUUUUUUAAAUUAUUUAAAUAGUUUGAUGUAAUAUAAAAAAAAUUUAAAUAUAAAUUAGGAUUAGAUACCCUAUUAUAAAAUUUAAAAGAAAAAAAUUUAUGUAUUAAAUGUAAAAUCAUUAAAAUAAAAAGAAUUGGGGGAAUUUAAAAAUUUUAAAGGAACUUGUAUUUUAAUUUGAUAAUCCACGAAUGGAUAAACUUACUUAAAUUUUUAUAUAUUGUUGUAACAAAAUUAUUUUAAAAAAGUUAUAAUUAAAAAUUUUAAAAAAAAAAUUAUUCAAAUCAAAAUAUAGAAUUAGUAAGAAUUUUAUUAGUUACAAUAUAAAAAAUAUUAAAUAAUUUAAAUUUUAAUAUUUAAUAAUUAAUUGAAUUUAAAAGUAAAAAUAUAAAAAUAUAUAAUUUGAAUAAAAAUUUUAAAUUACUACAAAUUGCCCGUCAUUUUUAAAUUAAUUUUAAAAAAAGUCGUAACAAAGUAAAUGUACUGGAAAGUGUAAUUAGAAAAAA
This 770-nucleotide non-coding RNA is filed under the name Pachycondyla annamita. The record is from RNAcentral. Lineage: Eukaryota; Metazoa; Arthropoda; Insecta; Hymenoptera; Formicidae.